CCUACGGGUGGCAGCAGUGGGGAAUAUUUCACAAUGGGGGAAACCCUGAUGCAGCAACGCCGCGUGAGUGAAGAAGUAUUUCGGUAUGUAAAGUUCUAUCAUCAGGGAAGAAUAUGACGGUACCUGAUUAAGAAGCCCCGGCUAACUACGUGCCAGCAGCCGCGGUAAUACGUAGGGGGCAAGCGUUAUCCGGAUUUACUGGGUGUAAAGAGAGCGUAGACGGAUAAGCUAGAGUGAAGUGAAAUGCCGGGGCUUAACCCCCGAACAGCUUUGGAAACUGUGAAGCUAGAGUGCAGGAGAGGUAAUUGGAAUUCCUAGUGUAGCGGUGAAAUGUGUAGAUAUUAGGAGGAACACCAGUGGCGAAGGCGGGUUACUGGAAUGUAACUGACGUUGAGGCACGAAAGCGUAGGGAGCAAACAGGAUUAGAUACCCGUGUAGUC
This 440-nucleotide ribosomal RNA is filed under the name uncultured bacterium. RNAcentral's name for it is "partial 16S ribosomal RNA". It matches the Rfam family "Bacterial small subunit ribosomal RNA", at positions 338 to 795 of the family's 1533-position model. The record is from RNAcentral.